AUUGAACGCUGGCGGCAGGCCUAACACAUGCAAGUCGAACGAGUGGCGGACGGGUGAGUAAUGUCUGGGAAACUGCCCGAUGGUGGGGGAUAACUUCUGGAAACGGUAGCUAAUACCGCAUACCAUCGGAUGUGCCCCGAUGGUUUUAGCUAGUAGGUGGGGUAACGGCUCACCUAGGCGACGAUCCCUAGCUGGUCUGAGAGGAUGACCAGCCACACUGGAACUGAGACACGUUCCAGACUCAUACGGGAGGCAGCAGUGGGGAAUAUUGCACAAUGGGCGCAAGCCGGAUGCAGCCAUGCCGCGUGUAUGAAGAAGGCCUUCGGGUUGUAAAGUACUUUCAGCGAGGAGGCGGGAGGCGAAGAAGAAGCAUCGGCUAACUCCGUGCCAGAAGCCGCGGUAAGAG
RNAcentral lists this ribosomal RNA (406 nucleotides) under uncultured bacterium. Its description in RNAcentral is "partial 16S ribosomal RNA". It matches the Rfam family "Bacterial small subunit ribosomal RNA", at positions 30 to 526 of the family's 1533-position model. The record is from RNAcentral.